GCCCCCAUCGUCUAGCGGACUAGGACACAGCCCUUUCAAGGCUGCGACAGGGAUUCGAAUUCCCUUGGGGGCA
RNAcentral lists this transfer RNA (73 nucleotides) under Anaerolineae bacterium. Its description in RNAcentral is "tRNA-Glu". It matches the Rfam family "tRNA". Rfam says of the family: Transfer RNA (tRNA) molecules are approximately 80 nucleotides in length. Their secondary structure includes four short double-helical elements and three loops (D, anti-codon, and T loops). RNAcentral also lists the same sequence under 1 other name. The record is from RNAcentral. Lineage: Bacteria; Bacillati; Chloroflexota; Anaerolineae.